GCGGGUGUGGCGGAACUGGCAGACGCGCAUGGUUGAGGGCCAUGUCUCAGCAAUGAGGUGGAGGUUCGAAUCCUCUCACCCGCA
RNAcentral lists this transfer RNA (84 nucleotides) under Blastopirellula sp. Its description in RNAcentral is "tRNA-Leu". It matches the Rfam family "tRNA". Rfam says of the family: Transfer RNA (tRNA) molecules are approximately 80 nucleotides in length. Their secondary structure includes four short double-helical elements and three loops (D, anti-codon, and T loops). The record is from RNAcentral. RNAcentral also lists the same sequence under 3 other names. Lineage: Bacteria; Pseudomonadati; Planctomycetota; Planctomycetia; Pirellulales; Pirellulaceae.